CUCUGGUGUUGAGGAGGCUUACGCCUUCUGGGGCAUCUGGAGCCUGUCAGUUCCUGAGGAUCCCUGACUGUGUGGCAUGUCUUCAUUACUUCAGGAUGCCAGAGGGGAUGGAGUUGCUUAGGAAGAAGCCCUCAGUAACUCAGGCAUGAGGGAUUCAAGAAAACUCAGGCUGUGGGAGCUCACUGAUUCAACCAGGUCAGCCCAACACUUGUGGUCCCACUGCAGUGAAGGCCCAUGGCCAUUGGAAACUGGAACCAUGCUAUGUAGCUGGCCCAAAGUAUGUGAACCUGGCUGGAUGGCUGAUGAACUUGCAACUGGGACAGGUAUUAAAAUUCUGCCUUCCCGCCCUAGUCUCAUUAUUGUUGCC
Long non-coding RNA from Chinchilla lanigera (long-tailed chinchilla), 367 nucleotides. RefSeq lists it as uncharacterized. Lineage: Eukaryota; Metazoa; Chordata; Mammalia; Rodentia; Chinchillidae. The transcript has 4 exons. The record is from RefSeq and is a predicted model, not a curated record.